This 497-nucleotide ribosomal RNA is filed under the name uncultured bacterium. Its description in RNAcentral is "partial 16S ribosomal RNA". It matches the Rfam family "Bacterial small subunit ribosomal RNA", at positions 28 to 507 of the family's 1533-position model. The record is from RNAcentral.
GAUGAACGCUGGCGGCGUGCCUAAUACAUGCAAGUCGAGCGAACGGACGAGAAGCUUGCUUCUCUGAUGUUAGCGGCGGACGGGUGAGUAACACGUGGAUAACCUACCUAUAAGACUGGGAUAACUUCGGGAAACCGGAGCUAAUACCGGAUAAUAUUUUGAACCGCAUGGUUCAAAAGUUAAAGACGGUCUUGCUGUCACUUAUAGCUGGAUCCGCGCUGCAUUAGCUAGUUGGUAAGGUAACGGCUUACCAAGGCAACGAUGCAUAGCCGACCUGAGAGGGUGAUCGGCCACACUGGAACUGAGACACGGUCCAGACUCCUACGGGAGGCAGCAGUAGGGAAUCUUCCGCAAUGGGCGAAAGCCUGACGGAGCAACGCCGCGUGAGUGAUGAAGGUCUUCGGAUCGUAAAACUCUGUUAUUAGGGAAGAACAUAUGUGUAAGUAAAUGUGCACAUCUUGACGGUACCUAAUCAGAAAGCCACGGCUAACUACGUG